ACGUAGGACUCCACUCUCUGUCUUCUCUUCAAAAGCUUAGCUGUUGUUUCCUCUUCUUCUACAAGAUUUAGUUGUUUCAAAUUGCCAACCUCUCUGUCUUCCUCAUAAUUAACAUGACUGUUCUUACGUUCCUGUUUUCAUCUAUUAUAAGUGAAAUGAACCUAAGACAUUCACAGAUACUAAGGGAGUAAUCUUCAAAGGCUAGACCUAACUUGCUUUUAAUUGAAGUUUUUGGCUUUCCUUGACAUAUAUCAAAUGGGACCCUCCCUAGAGGGUGUUUGUGCUUUCAUUGUGACCAAAGAUUAGAAACCAUUCUCUAUUCACUCUCCAAGCCUGCAAUUAACUCCAGUAAACCAAGUGUUGGAAAGACCCGUCUCAAGGAAAAAGGCAUGUUUACUGAUGAAUAUUUGUAUUGGGUUUGUUUUGCAAC
Molecule: long non-coding RNA, 430 nt
Organism: Quercus robur (English oak)
Lineage: Eukaryota; Viridiplantae; Streptophyta; Magnoliopsida; Fagales; Fagaceae
Exons: 3
Source: RefSeq, a predicted model, not a curated record